Molecule: ribosomal RNA, 385 nt
Filed under: uncultured euryarchaeote
Lineage: Archaea; Methanobacteriati; Methanobacteriota
Description: bacterial SSU rRNA
Rfam family: Archaeal small subunit ribosomal RNA
Source: RNAcentral
UCCCAGCAGUCCAAGUCGUGGCCACAUUUAUUAGGUCUAAAACAUUCGUAGCUUGUUUUGCAAGUUCCUUGUGAAAUGCUAUCGCUUAACGGUAGCGCGUGCGAGGAAUACUGCAUUGCUAGAGACUGGUAGACGCAAGAAGUACAAUCGGGGUAGCGGUUAAAUGUUUUAAUCCCGGUUGGACUCACAAUGGCGAAGGCAUCUUGCGAGGACAGAUCUGACGGUGAGGAAUGAAGGCCAGGGGCGCAAAAUGGAUUAGAUACCCAUGUAGUCCUGGCAGUAAACUCUGCUCACUAAACAUUGUGUUCUCCUUGAGGGAACGCAGUGCUGAAACGAAGGUGGAAGUGAGCUACCUGGGAAGUAUAGCCGCAAGGCCGAAACUUAA